UUUAGCACAAGCGUCACCAAAAAAACUCCUUAGCAUAGCUAUGUUUAAACAAUCCUCAGACUAAAUCAAGACUUCCUAAACGAGCUAGAAUUCCAAUACUGAUAUGACCCAAUUUACAAUGCCAAGCAAGAUGAUUUUCAGUUUUGAUGGACACUAAACAAAGUUGAUUAAUGUUUUUCACUGUUUUGAGAUUUACUAAGUAAAUGUUCCCCUUUUUAUAUCCCCUAAACAAAAUUUUACCAUCUUUAAUACUUUCGACUCGACAAAAUCUAUAUUCGAACACUAUCCUAUUCUUUUCUCCACAAAUUUAACUAAUGGGUAGCAAGUUAUGGCUAAGACCUUCAACAUAAAAAUACUUCAUUCAUAAAUAUGUAAUGUUUUAUUUCCUACUGUUCCUACUUCAGAGAUUUUGCAUAAUCUAUUAUGAUCGAAACUAACAUUACCUCUUUCUGUGACAUAGUGCUCACAGAAUAAAGCAGCAUUACCGGUCAUGUGGUGAGACACCCACUUGUGACUCUUCUCAUCAACAAGAUAACAGAUCUCCAUUUUCUCCUCUAUUGAAGCUUGAAUUUCCUCGACUUUUUCCUCAGUUGGAGUCUUAAUGUCCUCAACAUCAUUUGCUA
This 623-nucleotide long non-coding RNA is filed under the name Linum usitatissimum (flax). RNAcentral describes it as "long non-coding RNA (LUSI_LNC002579)". Lineage: Eukaryota; Viridiplantae; Streptophyta; Magnoliopsida; Malpighiales; Linaceae. The record is from RNAcentral.